Callithrix jacchus (white-tufted-ear marmoset) is the source of this 102-nucleotide Y RNA. It matches the Rfam family "Y RNA". Rfam says of the family: Y RNAs are components of the Ro ribonucleoprotein particle (Ro RNP), in association with Ro60 and La proteins. The Y RNAs and Ro60 and La proteins are well conserved, but the function of the Ro RNP is not known. In humans the RNA component can be one of four small RNAs -- hY1, hY3, hY4 and hY5. The record is from Ensembl. Lineage: Eukaryota; Metazoa; Chordata; Mammalia; Primates; Cebidae.
GGCUGGUCCGAGUGCAGCGGUGUUUACAACUAAUCACUGACAACCAGUUACAGAUUUUGUUCCUUCUCCACUCCCACUGCUUCUUCACUUGACCAGCCUUUA